RNAcentral lists this ribosomal RNA (251 nucleotides) under uncultured prokaryote. RNAcentral's name for it is "partial 16S rRNA". It matches the Rfam family "Bacterial small subunit ribosomal RNA", at positions 525 to 775 of the family's 1533-position model. The record is from RNAcentral.
AAGGAGGGUGCGAGCGUUGUUCGGAAUUAUUGGGCGUAAAGCGCGUGUAGGCGGUCUUUUAAGUCUGAUGUGAAAGCCCUGGGCUCAACCCAGGAAGUGCAUUGGAAACUGGGAGACUCGAAUACGGUAGAGGGAAGUGGAAUUCCUAGUUGAGGAGUGAUAGCCGUAGAUAUUAGGGAGAUCACCGGUGGCGAAGGCGGCUACCUUGGCUAAUACUGAUGCUUAGACGCGAAAGCGAGGGGAGUAAACAG